GACGAACGCUGGCGGCGUGCUUAACACAUGCAAGUCGAGCGGUAAGGCCCUUCGGGUACACGAGCGGCGAACGGGUGAGUAACACGUGGGUGACCUGCCCUUAGCUCUGGGAUAAGCCUGGGAAACUGGGUCUAAUACCGGAUAUGACCUCAUGACGCAUGUUGUGGGGUGGAAAGCCCUGUGCGGCUAGGGAUGGGCCCGCGGCCUAUCAGCUUGUUGGUGGGGUGAUGGCCACCAAGGCGACGACGGGUAGCCGGCCUGAGAGGGCGACCGGCCACACUGGGACUGAGACACGGCCCAGACUCCUACGGGAGGCAGCAGUGGGGAAUCUUGCGCAAUGGGCGAAAGCCUGACGCAGCGACGCCGCGUGAGGGAUGACGGCCU
Molecule: ribosomal RNA, 384 nt
Filed under: uncultured bacterium
Lineage: Bacteria
Description: bacterial SSU rRNA
Rfam family: Bacterial small subunit ribosomal RNA
Source: RNAcentral